GAUGCUGAGAUUUGGGGCUGAUUGGGCUGAAUUUGGGGUCAGUUCAUGAGAGUUUGGGGUCAGAUGCUGAGAUUUGGGGUCAGAUGCUGAGAUUUGGGGUCAUUUCAUGAGAGUUCGGGGUCAGAUGCUGAGAUUUGGGGUCAGAUGCUGAGAUUUGGGGCCGAUUGGGCUGAAUUUGGGGUCGGGUGCUGAGAUUUGGGGUCAUUUUGUGAGGGUUUGGGGUCAGAUGCUGAGAUUUGGGAUCAGUUCAUGAGAGUUUGGGGUCAGAUGCUGAGAUUUGGGGUCAGAUGCUGAGAUUUGGGGCCGAUUGGGCUGAAUUUGGGGUCAGAUCUGGAGAUAUGGGGUCAUUUCGUGAGAGUUUGGGGUCAGAUGCUGAGAUUUGGGAUCAGUUCAUGAGAGUUUGGGGUCAGAUGCUGAGAUUUGGGGUCAGAUGCUGAGAUUUGGGGCCGAUUGGGCUGAAUUUGGGGUCAGGUGCUGAGAUUUGGGGUCAUUUCAUGAGAGUUUGGGGUCAGAUCCAGAGAUUUGGGGGUCACUAUGUGAGAGUUUGGG
This 549-nucleotide long non-coding RNA is filed under the name Gallus gallus (chicken). Lineage: Eukaryota; Metazoa; Chordata; Aves; Galliformes; Phasianidae. The record is from RNAcentral.